UACGUAGGGUGCGAGCGUUAAUCGGAAUUACUGGGCGUAAAGCGUGCGCAGGCGGUCUGUUAAGACCGAUGUGAAAUCCCCGGGCUUAACCUGGGAACUGCAUUGGUGACUGGCAGGCUUUGAGUGUGGCAGAGGGAGGUAGAAUUCCACGUGUAGCAGUGAAAUGCGUAGAGAUGUGGAGGAAUACCGAUGGCGAAGGCAGCCUCCUGGGCCAACACUGACGCUCAUGCACGAAAGCGUGGGGAGUAAACAGG
RNAcentral lists this ribosomal RNA (254 nucleotides) under uncultured bacterium. Its description in RNAcentral is "partial 16S ribosomal RNA". It matches the Rfam family "Bacterial small subunit ribosomal RNA", at positions 524 to 776 of the family's 1533-position model. The record is from RNAcentral.